GAUGAACGCUGGCGGCGUGCCUAAUACAUGCAAGUCGAGCGAACGGACGAGAAGCUUGCUUCUCUGAUGUUAGCGGCGGACGGGUGAGUAACACGUGGAUAACCUACCUAUAAGACUGGGAUAACUUCGGGAAACCGGAGCUAAUACCGGAUGAUAUUUUGAACCGCAUGGUUCAAAGGUGAAAGACGGUCUUGCUGUCACUUAUAGAUGGAUCCGCGCUGCAUUAGCUAGUUGGUAAGGUAACGGCUUACCAAGGCAACGAUGCAUAGCCGACCUGAGAGGGUGAUCGGCCACACUGGAACUGAGACACGGUCCAGCCUCCUACGGGAGGCAGCAGUAGGGAAUCUUCCGCAAUGGGCGAAAGCCUGACGGAGCAACGCCGCGUGAGUGAUGAAGGUCUUCGGAUCGUAAAACUCUGUUAUUAGGGAAGAACAUAUGUGUAAGUAACUGUGCACAUCUUGCCGGUACCUAAUCAGAAAGCCACGGCUAACUACGUG
Molecule: ribosomal RNA, 497 nt
Filed under: uncultured bacterium
Lineage: Bacteria
Description: partial 16S ribosomal RNA
Rfam family: Bacterial small subunit ribosomal RNA
Source: RNAcentral